Molecule: ribosomal RNA, 808 nt
Filed under: Geodermatophilus sp.
Lineage: Bacteria; Bacillati; Actinomycetota; Actinomycetes; Geodermatophilales; Geodermatophilaceae
Description: bacterial SSU rRNA
Rfam family: Bacterial small subunit ribosomal RNA
Source: RNAcentral
CGGUGAACCCGCUUCGGUGGGGGAUCAGUGGCGAACGGGUGAGUAACACGUGGGCAACCUGCCCCCGGCUCUGGGAUAACCCCAAGAAAUUGGGGCUAAUACCGGAUGUCCUCUGCUGGUCGCAUGGCCGGUGGUGGAAAGAUUUAUCGGCUGGGGAUGGGCCCGCGGCCUAUCAGCUUGUUGGUGGGGUAGUGGCCUACCAAGGCGACGACGGGUAGCCGGCCUGAGAGGGUGACCGGCCACACUGGGACUGAGACACGGCCCAGACUCCUACGGGAGGCAGCAGUGGGGAAUAUUGCGCAAUGGGCGGAAGCCUGACGCAGCGACGCCGCGUGGGGGAUGACGGCCUUCGGGUUGUAAACCUCUUUCAGCAGGGACGAAGCCCUUGCGGGUGACGGUACCUGCAGAAGAAGCACCGGCCAACUACGUGCCAGCAGCCGCGGUAAUACGUAGGGUGCAAGCGUUGUCCGGAAUUAUUGGGCGUAAAGAGCUCGUAGGCGGUUUGUCGCGUCGGCUGUGAAAACCCGGAGCUCAACUCCGGGCCUGCAGUCGAUACGGGCAGACUUGAGUGUUGCAGGGGAGACUGGAAUUCCUGGUGUAGCGGUGAAAUGCGCAGAUAUCAGGAGGAACACCGGUGGCGAAGGCGGGUCUCUGGGCAACAACUGACGCUGAGGAGCGAAAGCGUGGGGAGCGAACAGGAUUAGAUACCCUGGUAGUCCACGCCGUAAACGUUGGGCGCUAGGUGUGGGGGCCAUUCCACGGUCUCCGUGCCGCAGCUAACGCAUUAAGCGCCCCGCCUGGGGAGUAC